GCAACAUUGGGACCGCCGGUCUACCGAGCAAUAUCACCAAAUCGGUGGAAGAUCUUCCCCUUCGUCGU
Molecule: microRNA precursor, 68 nt
Filed under: Bombyx mori (domestic silkworm)
Lineage: Eukaryota; Metazoa; Arthropoda; Insecta; Lepidoptera; Bombycidae
Description: mir-2774 microRNA precursor family
Rfam family: mir-2774 microRNA precursor family
Source: Rfam by way of RNAcentral